AUUGAACGCUGGCGGCAGGCCUAAUACAUGCAAGUCGGACGGGAUUUGGGAGCUUGCUCCCAAUGAGAGUGGCGCACGGGUGCGUAACACGUAUGUAACCUACCUUAAUCGGGGGGAUAGCCUCUCGAAAGAGAGAUUAACACCGCAUAAUAUAUUUUUAUGGCAUCGUAGAAAUAUCAAAUAUUUAUAGGAUUAAGAUGGGCAUGCGGAACAUUAGCUAGUUGGUAAGGUAACGGCUUACCAAGGCUACGAUGUUUAGGGGAUCUGAGAGGAUGACCCCCCACACUGGUACUGAGACACGGACCAGACUCCUACGGGAGGCAGCAGUAAGGAAUAUUGGUCAAUGGGCGCAAGCCUGAACCAGCCAUGCCGCGUGCAGGAAGACGGCCCUAUGGGUUGUAAACUGCUUUUGUACCGGAAUAAACCCUUUUACGUGUAAAAGGCUGAAUGUACGGUAAGAAUAAGGAUCGGCUAACUCCGUGCCAGCCGCCGCAGUAA
RNAcentral lists this ribosomal RNA (498 nucleotides) under uncultured bacterium. RNAcentral's name for it is "partial 16S ribosomal RNA". It matches the Rfam family "Bacterial small subunit ribosomal RNA", at positions 30 to 523 of the family's 1533-position model. The record is from RNAcentral.